RNAcentral lists this ribosomal RNA (459 nucleotides) under uncultured bacterium. RNAcentral describes it as "partial 16S ribosomal RNA". It matches the Rfam family "Bacterial small subunit ribosomal RNA", at positions 338 to 795 of the family's 1533-position model. The record is from RNAcentral.
CCUACGGGUGGCAGCAGUGAGGAAUAUUGGUCAAUGGGCGCAAGCCUGAACCAGCCAAGUAGCGUGCAGGAAGACGGCCCUACGGGUUGUAAACUGCUUUUGUCCGGGAAUAACACGCCUUACGCGUGGCGCUUUGCGUGUACCCGAUGAAUAAGCACCGGCUAAUUCCGUGCCAGCAGCCGCGGUAAUACGGAGGAUGCGGGCGUUAUCCGGAUUUAUUGGGUUUAAAGGGUGCGUAGGCGGAAGAUCAAGUUAGCGGUAAAAUUUCGGGGCUCAACCUGGCCGUGCCGGGGGAACUGGCUUGCUUGAGUGAGCGAAAAGUAGGCGGAAUGCGUGGUGUAGCGGUGAAAUGCUUAGAUAUGACGAAGAACCCCGAUUGCGAAGGCAGCAUGCUGCAGCGGAACUGACGCUGAUGCACGAAAGUGUGGGUAUCGAACAGGAUUAGAUACCCGGGUAGUC